Molecule: transfer RNA, 76 nt
Filed under: Enterobacter cloacae
Lineage: Bacteria; Pseudomonadati; Pseudomonadota; Gammaproteobacteria; Enterobacterales; Enterobacteriaceae
Also listed under: 28 other names
Description: tRNA-Lys
Rfam family: tRNA
About the family: Transfer RNA (tRNA) molecules are approximately 80 nucleotides in length. Their secondary structure includes four short double-helical elements and three loops (D, anti-codon, and T loops).
Source: RNAcentral
GGGUGAUUAGCUCAGUUGGUAGAGCAGUUGACUUUUAAUCAAUUGGUCGCAGGUUCGAAUCCUGCACGACCCACCA